CUUAUCCAGAACGGCAGAGGGGACGGCCCGAUGAAGCCUAGCAACCGAUCUGAGUCCGGUACGGACGUAGACACGGUGCUAAUUCCGUCGGCUGGCGAUAACGACGUCAGGCGAAAGAUAAGG
RNAcentral lists this non-coding RNA (123 nucleotides) under marine eukaryotic metagenome. RNAcentral describes it as "SAM riboswitch (S box leader)". It matches the Rfam family "SAM riboswitch aptamer (S box leader)". From Rfam's summary of the family: The SAM riboswitch is found upstream of a number of genes which code for proteins involved in methionine or cysteine biosynthesis in Gram-positive bacteria. The SAM riboswitch acts at the level of transcription termination control. The predicted structure consists of a complex stem-loop region followed by a single stem loop terminator region. The record is from RNAcentral.